Molecule: long non-coding RNA, 1284 nt
Filed under: Gossypium barbadense (sea-island cotton)
Lineage: Eukaryota; Viridiplantae; Streptophyta; Magnoliopsida; Malvales; Malvaceae
Description: long non-coding RNA (GBAR_LNC006533)
Source: RNAcentral
GAAUGCUGAAUAUAUACAUUUGAAUUUAGCCUUUUUAAGUUGUUAUUUUAAUGAUAGAAACUUGUGAUGUUAUAAUAAAACAAUUUAAUAAAAAAUGGUUUGUUAGGUGUGUUCCUAUGUACUAAGAUAAUGAGCCUCCAACAGCACAGCGUUGCUUGUCCACAAAAUCUUUAUCCUCUUAUUUUAAAGCCAGACCACCCAAUCGCCUUUUUCUUUUUUAAUUUUUAUCCUAUCUUAACAUGAAUAUCUUAGCACUGGAAAUUAAGGAAGAACUGGAUUCAAGAAAUAUGGCAAGAAACUACCUUUUUAUUCAUUAGUUCUCAGCCGUUCCAUUGGAAAUCCAAAACAAAACAAAGAGAAAGACCCCAAGCCAAAUACCUCAAUUAAAAAAGAAAAAGAAAAAGGGGGGGUUUUGAGGGGCUUAAUUUAAGUACAACUUUGAAACAAAUGGAAUUCCUAGGAGGGAAGUAAACAACUUAGUAGCCUUUAGGCUUGUAGGCAAUGAAACUAAUGCACUGCACUUGACGAACGUUGUCGAACCCAAUGAUUCUAAUGAAUGCAUUGGGGUAUUCCUUCUUGCAAUUCUCAAGCUCCUCCAACACCUGAGCCGAGUCAGUGCACCCAAACAUGGGCAGUUUCCACAUGGUCCAGUAGCGUCCAUCGUAGUACGUGGGUAAGCUCGAGUACUUACGGUGCACGAAUCCCUCCUGCACAUACAUAUAAAACACAUUUAAUCAAAUCAAAUAUCCCACUAAAAAAAUAAAGUGUUGGAAAGGAAUAAUUUAGAGCUCGAAAACACCUCUAAUUCGAAUUCCAAGCAAGGAAUCCAUUUAGAGCGAAGAAGGUAAUCUACUUCCUUAGCCAACUGUACGGGUGUAAGAUCGGGGAGGUAUGAGAGUGUCUCGAACUUCUUCUUCCCAAGAGGAGGCCACACCUAUACUCAAAAGCCAAGAUAUAUAUUUGAUUCAAUUUAUGUAAUUUGUUGUGUUCAAACAAUUGGGGUAAUUUAAGUUGUAUUUAUGCAUCACCAAGUACCUGCAUGCAUUGCACUCUCCCACCAUUGCUUGCAAGAGAAGUGAUGUCGUUGUUGGCCUUCCUAGUGACUGGGAAAGCAGAGGCAGACUUGAGGCCGGUGAAGGGGGCCACCAUGUUGGCCUGUGCCGGGGAGGAGCAGUUCACGGUGGCAAUGGUUGCCGAUGAGAUCAUGGAGGAGGCCAUUGCUAUUACUGCUUACUAGUACUAUAUGCUACAGUUAUACAAAAGAGUCUCACUGAUCCCUUAAUA